Molecule: ribosomal RNA, 2902 nt
Filed under: Klebsiella pneumoniae
Lineage: Bacteria; Pseudomonadati; Pseudomonadota; Gammaproteobacteria; Enterobacterales; Enterobacteriaceae
Also listed under: 1 other name
Description: 23S ribosomal RNA
Rfam family: Bacterial large subunit ribosomal RNA
Source: RNAcentral
GGUUAAGCGACUAAGCGUACACGGUGGAUGCCCUGGCAGUCAGAGGCGAUGAAGGACGUGCUAAUCUGCGAAAAGCGUCGGUAAGGUGAUAUGAACCGUUACAGCCGGCGAUGUCCGAAUGGGGAAACCCAGUGCAAUUCGUUGCACUAUCGUUAACUGAAUACAUAGGUUAACGAGGCGAACCGGGGGAACUGAAACAUCUAAGUACCCCGAGGAAAAGAAAUCAACCGAGAUUCCCCCAGUAGCGGCGAGCGAACGGGGAGCAGCCCAGAGUCUGAAUCAGCUUGUGUGUUAGUGGAACGGUCUGGAAAGUCCGACGGUACAGGGUGAUAGUCCCGUACACCAAAAUGCACAGGUUGUGAACUCGAAGAGUAGGGCGGGACACGUGGUAUCCUGUCUGAAUAUGGGGGGACCAUCCUCCAAGGCUAAAUACUCCUGACUGACCGAUAGUGAACCAGUACCGUGAGGGAAAGGCGAAAAGAACCCCGGCGAGGGGAGUGAAAAAGAACCUGAAACCGUGUACGUACAAGCAGUGGGAGCACCUUCGGGUGUGACUGCGUACCUUUUGUAUAAUGGGUCAGCGACUUAUAUUCUGUAGCAAGGUUAACCGUAUAGGGGAGCCGCAGGGAAACCGAGUCUUAACUGGGCGUUAAGUUGCAGGGUAUAGACCCGAAACCCGGUGAUCUAGCCAUGGGCAGGUUGAAGGUUGGGUAACACUAACUGGAGGACCGAACCGACUAAUGUUGAAAAAUUAGCGGAUGACUUGUGGCUGGGGGUGAAAGGCCAAUCAAACCGGGAGAUAGCUGGUUCUCCCCGAAAGCUAUUUAGGUAGCGCCUCGUGAACUCAUCUUCGGGGGUAGAGCACUGUUUCGGCUAGGGGGUCAUCCCGACUUACCAACCCGAUGCAAACUACGAAUACCGAAGAAUGUUAUCACGGGAGACACACGGCGGGUGCUAACGUCCGUCGUGAAGAGGGAAACAACCCAGACCGCCAGCUAAGGUCCCAAAGUCAUGGUUAAGUGGGAAACGAUGUGGGAAGGCACAGACAGCCAGGAUGUUGGCUUAGAAGCAGCCAUCAUUUAAAGAAAGCGUAAUAGCUCACUGGUCGAGUCGGCCUGCGCGGAAGAUGUAACGGGGCUAAACCAUGCACCGAAGCUGCGGCAGCGACACUAUGUGUUGUUGGGUAGGGGAGCGUUCUGUAAGCCUGCGAAGGUGUGCUGUGAGGCAUGCUGGAGGUAUCAGAAGUGCGAAUGCUGACAUAAGUAACGAUAAAGCGGGUGAAAAGCCCGCUCGCCGGAAGACCAAGGGUUCCUGUCCAACGUUAAUCGGGGCAGGGUGAGUCGACCCCUAAGGCGAGGCCGAAAGGCGUAGUCGAUGGGAAACAGGUUAAUAUUCCUGUACUUGGUGUUACUGCGAAGGGGGGACGGAGAAGGCUAUGUUAGCCGGGCGACGGUUGUCCCGGUUUAAGCAUGUAGGCUGAUUGUCCAGGCAAAUCCGGAUAAUCAAGGCUGAGGUGUGAUGACGAGGCACUACGGUGCUGAAGUAACAAAUGCCCUGCUUCCAGGAAAAGCCUCUAAGCAUCAGGUAACAUCAAAUCGUACCCCAAACCGACACAGGUGGUCAGGUAGAGAAUACCAAGGCGCUUGAGAGAACUCGGGUGAAGGAACUAGGCAAAAUGGUGCCGUAACUUCGGGAGAAGGCACGCUGGUGUGUAGGUGAAGUCCCUGCGGAUGGAGCUGAGACCAGUCGAAGAUACCAGCUGGCUGCAACUGUUUAUUAAAAACACAGCACUGUGCAAACACGAAAGUGGACGUAUACGGUGUGACGCCUGCCCGGUGCCGGAAGGUUAAUUGAUGGGGUUAUCCGUAAGGAGAAGCUCUUGAUCGAAGCCCCGGUAAACGGCGGCCGUAACUAUAACGGUCCUAAGGUAGCGAAAUUCCUUGUCGGGUAAGUUCCGACCUGCACGAAUGGCGUAAUGAUGGCCAGGCUGUCUCCACCCGAGACUCAGUGAAAUUGAACUCGCUGUGAAGAUGCAGUGUACCCGCGGCAAGACGGAAAGACCCCGUGAACCUUUACUAUAGCUUGACACUGAACAUUGAGCCUUGAUGUGUAGGAUAGGUGGGAGGCUUUGAAGCGUGGACGCCAGUCUGCGUGGAGCCAACCUUGAAAUACCACCCUUUAAUGUUUGAUGUUCUAACGUUGGCCCCUGACCGGGGUUGCGGACAGUGUCUGGUGGGUAGUUUGACUGGGGCGGUCUCCUCCCAAAGCGUAACGGAGGAGCACGAAGGUUAGCUAAUCCUGGUCGGACAUCAGGAGGUUAGUGCAAUGGCAUAAGCUAGCUUGACUGCGAGCGUGACGGCGCGAGCAGGUGCGAAAGCAGGUCAUAGUGAUCCGGUGGUUCUGAAUGGAAGGGCCAUCGCUCAACGGAUAAAAGGUACUCCGGGGAUAACAGGCUGAUACCGCCCAAGAGUUCAUAUCGACGGCGGUGUUUGGCACCUCGAUGUCGGCUCAUCACAUCCUGGGGCUGAAGUAGGUCCCAAGGGUAUGGCUGUUCGCCAUUUAAAGUGGUACGCGAGCUGGGUUUAGAACGUCGUGAGACAGUUCGGUCCCUAUCUGCCGUGGGCGCUGGAGAAUUGAGGGGGGCUGCUCCUAGUACGAGAGGACCGGAGUGGACGCAUCACUGGUGUUCGGGUUGUCAUGCCAAUGGCACUGCCCGGUAGCUAAAUGCGGAAGAGAUAAGUGCUGAAAGCAUCUAAGCACGAAACUUGCCCCGAGAUGAGUUCUCCCUGAGACUUUAAGUCUCCUGAAGGAACGUUGAAGACGACGACGUUGAUAGGCCGGGUGUGUAAGCGCAGCGAUGCGUUGAGCUAACCGGUACUAAUGAACCGUGAGGCUUAACCUU